Molecule: ribosomal RNA, 505 nt
Filed under: uncultured bacterium
Lineage: Bacteria
Description: bacterial SSU rRNA
Rfam family: Bacterial small subunit ribosomal RNA
Source: RNAcentral
GAUGAACGCUAGCGGGAGGCCUAAUACAUGCAAGUCGAGCGGUAGAGUGACUUCGGUUGCUUGAGAGCGGCGAACGGGUGAGUAACGCGUACACAAUCUACCUUUAAGAGGGGAAUAGCCCUGGGAAACUGGGAUUAAUGCCCCAUGGCAUCACGAGACGGCAUCGUUUUGUGAUUAAAGCUGAGGUGCUUAGAGAUGAGUGUGCGUCUGAUUAGCUAGUUGGUGCGGUAACGGCGCACCAAGGCGACGAUCAGUAGGGGGCGUGAGAGCGUGGACCCCCACACGGGUACUGAGACACGGACCCGACUCCUACGGGAGGCAGCAGUAAGGAAUAUUGGUCAAUGGAGGAAACUCUGAACCAGCCAUCCCGCGUGCAGGAAGAAUGCCCUAUGGGUUGUAAACUACUUUUAUUGGGGAAGAAACCCUUCUACGUGUAGAAGGCUGACGGUACCCAAGGAAUAAGGACCGGCUAACUCCGUGCCAGCAGCCGCGGUAAAGUCUAGCA